GGGGCGAGGCCCAGGCUCGGCAGGGAGGCGGGGGCGGCCCGAGGUGACAGGACCUGCGGGCCCGGGGUGGGGACAGCGGCGCCGGUGUUGGGUCAGCCACGAUCCGGCUGCAAGACGCAGAGCGCUAGCGCUGGAACAGGGUGGAAGCGAUCGGGACGGAUCAGCGAAAAUCUUGGGAAGAAAACACGGCAAAGGUGACUGCAGGAAUCUACUGCCCCCCCCCCCCCAAAUUUGCAAGACAGAAGCAGAAUACUGGGAAAGUACUACUUUAACCCAAAAGAAUGACUUUACUAGUGGAAGAAUUUCUGUAACCUGCCAUUUGAACCGGGGAAGGUCUUUUGAGGCCAGAUUCUUCUCAAGGAUGUUCAAAUCAGACAAACAUCCACUUGGUAAACGUAGAAAGAAACGGACUUCUAGUAUCAGAUGACACGAGUGAGGGAAGAAAACCAGGUCAGCCACUGCAGUCUGUCUUCCAGGUAUACUUUUGAAGAAUAAGUGUCUUCAUCUCUAGGAAUGGAAAGCACUGAUCAUUUGACAGAUAAGGAGUGUGCAUCCUGAAAAACUACCCAAUCACAACAGUGUUUCUUGGUUCCCUGCAGCCCCAACAAAUGAAUCAUUGUGUCAGUCAAGUCAUAUUCAAGGGAAAAAUUAAUUGUAAAAUAUUUUUCACUGUUUUGGCUGGUUUAAUAGAAUUUAUCCAAGAGGCUUCUCUCUUCUCAGGCUAAAUUAUCUAAGCUUAUUGACAACUGUUCUGUAAUACAGAGCAUUAAUUUAUGAACCUGGAAAAUAACUUGGAAGAAAGAUAUGGCAAGUCAAUAUUGCUAUCACUCAAAUAACUAUUAAUAUUUACUGAAGGUCUUCUAUAUGAAGUGUUGCUGGAUAGAAGCAUCAUUCCUGACGACAAAUAUCUUACAGCCAUUCUGACUAUUCAUUUUUCUUGAAACUAUUCAUAGUUUAAGUUUGCUUUUUUUUUCUCUUAUCAAGCCAUUUGGAUGAGGCCCAAGCACCUUACCCUAAAUAUGAGAAACUCACUAAUGUCAUAGAGGAUGAAAUUAACAUCAACAAGAUUGGAUAGUUGAGCAUUUCCUAAGAAAGCCUUUAGGAUGAGCUUUGGCUUGUCCCUGAAGGUUGCACGAAAUAGAGCCUUGCAGCCAUGCGUAGUUCGUGUCGCAGUGAAUGUGGUGUAUUAAUACAGGAUUUUCCUUAAUCCUAGCAGAAGCAUCUGCAUUGUGCUGCCUGAUUUUUCUCUCUCAUUUUUACCAAAUAAGCCCAUACUUUUAGCAUAUUCCAAAAUAGUACUGUUUGUAUUUCUAAGUUUUAUGGCUACCAUUUAGAUACAGGAGAACUUCUAAGUGGCAUUUAACUUUCUAUUGGCCUUUGGCACUUUGUUUUCAUUCUGCGUGUAAGCAAACGCUCAGUGAAAUCAGCCAUUAUAUUUACCUCUAGGGUGUGGAGCAACAAACUGUUCUUACUUUAUACUUAUAAAAUACUAUAUGUAGGACCUCAUCUUGUAGAUACUAUAGCUGAUUUUGUUUCCCUUUUCCCAAUGGCUUUUGAAAGCCUAGAUAAAAAUGUAUGUGCCAUCUGUACAGAAUCACAUUGCGUGCAUUUUGAGACGUAACCUCAUUUCAAGGUUCAUUUUCAUUUUGCUAUGUCAUUUUCCCAUUGUACUCAUUUUCUUACCUACUUAAAAAAAAAGCUUGCUUUUAUCUUCACGAAUGCAAUAAAUACACACUAUGUAAGACAUGUAAAAUGCAUAUCAGAAAAAAGAAAACAGGAGUUCCUGCUCCGGUGCAGUGGGUGAAGCAUCUGACUGUAGAGGCUUGGGUCACUGUGGAGGUGCGGGUUCGAU
Long non-coding RNA from Phacochoerus africanus (Common warthog), 1852 nucleotides. RefSeq lists it as uncharacterized. The record is from RefSeq and is a predicted model, not a curated record. The transcript is spliced from 3 exons. Lineage: Eukaryota; Metazoa; Chordata; Mammalia; Artiodactyla; Suidae.